GUAGGUGAACCUGCGGAAGGAUCAUUGACAAAUCUAUAAAAAAUAUGACAUUGGUUCUGGGUAAAACUGGAGCCUAAUGUAAUAUUAACCCGGAGCCGGUUUGGCUCGGGCAAUUUUCGGGGUCUGGGAAUUCGUUCCUUGACUUCUUGAAAGUUGUCAAAUUGAGCUACUGAGGUGAAAUAUAUUCAGUAGCACAUAAAAUCGAUUGUAUUUGUUUGACAGUGUAUUACUUGAUUUUCGGAUUAAGUACUAUUGAAAAAAUAUAUACAACUUUUAACAAUGGAUCUCUUGGCUCUU
RNAcentral lists this unclassified non-coding RNA (297 nucleotides) under rhizosphere metagenome. Its description in RNAcentral is "partial ribosomal RNA internal transcribed spacer region". The record is from RNAcentral.